RNAcentral lists this ribosomal RNA (494 nucleotides) under uncultured bacterium. Its description in RNAcentral is "partial 16S ribosomal RNA". It matches the Rfam family "Bacterial small subunit ribosomal RNA", at positions 28 to 507 of the family's 1533-position model. The record is from RNAcentral.
GACGAACGCUGGCGGCGUGCUUAACACAUGCAAGUCGAACGGUGAAGCGCCUUCCUUUUUGGUGGGUGUGGAUGAGUGGCGAACGGGUGAGUAACACGUGAGUAACCUGCCCCCUUCUUCUGGAUAACCGCAUGAAAGUGUGGCUAAUACGGGAUAUUCUGGGUCUGUCGCAUGAUGGGUCUGGGAAAGAUAUUGUUUCGGUGGGGGAUGGGCUCGCGGCCUAUCAGCUUGUUGGUGGGGUGAUGGCCUACCAAGGCGGUGACGGGUAGCCGGCCUGAGAGGGUGGACGGUCACACUGGGACUGAGACACGGCCCAGACUCCUGCGGGAGGCAGCAGUGGAGAAUAUUGCACGAUGGGCGCAAGCCUGAUGCAGCGACGCCGCGUGAGGGAUGGAGGCCUUCGGGUUGUGAACCUCUUUCGCCAGUGAAGCAUGCCUGCCUCGUUUGUGGGUGGGUUGACGGUAGCUGGAUAAGAAGCGCCGGCUAACUACGUG